This 455-nucleotide ribosomal RNA is filed under the name Aphelinus abdominalis. Its description in RNAcentral is "partial 16S ribosomal RNA". Lineage: Eukaryota; Metazoa; Arthropoda; Insecta; Hymenoptera; Aphelinidae. The record is from RNAcentral.
GAUCUGCUCAAUGAUUAAAAAUUAAAUAGCUGCAGUAUUUUAACUGUACUAAGGUAGCAUAAUCAUUUGUCUUUUUAUUAAAGUCUAGAAUGAAUGAUUUAAUGAAAAAAUUUCUGUCUCAAAUUAAUUUAUAAAAUUUUAUUUUAAGUUAAAAUUCUUAAAAUUUAUUUAAAGACGAGAAGACCCUAUAGAAUUUUAUAAAAUUUUUUAUUUUUAUUUUAUAAAUUAUUAAAAUUAAUUUAAAUUUUAUUUUAUUGGGGUAAUAAAAAAAUUUAAUUAAAUUUUUUUAAUAAUUUUUCAUAAAUUAAUGUAUUUAUUUUAUCCAAAUUAUUUUGAAAUAAAAAUUAAUUACCUUAGGGAUAACAGCGUAAUUUUUUUAAAAAGUUCAUAUUGAUAAAAAAGUUUGCGACCUCGAUGUUGAAUUAAGAUAAAAUUUUAAUGUAGAAAUUAAAAAU